CAAAAAAGACAUUGAUGUCAUAAAAUUUCUAGGAGUAGUUCAUCGCAGUGUAAAAUAUGUCACUUCCUGUUGCCAAUAGGUGGCGCUAUGACUAUAACUGAAUAUGGGCAUGUCAAUCUUUUCAGGUCAGGAGUCUUAUCAAACAUGUGAAGUUUGUGGCAGAUUGGACAUUGUAUGUCUGAGUUAUAGCAACUUCAUUUUUCAUGGCGAAUCAUCGAAAUUCGUCAGGCCGCCACGGACACGCCCUUCAACGAAAACUCAAGAUCUUCGCA
Cyprinus carpio carpio is the source of this 272-nucleotide long non-coding RNA. Lineage: Eukaryota; Metazoa; Chordata; Actinopteri; Cypriniformes; Cyprinidae. The record is from Ensembl.